Molecule: ribosomal RNA, 402 nt
Filed under: bacterium
Lineage: Bacteria
Description: partial 16S ribosomal RNA
Rfam family: Bacterial small subunit ribosomal RNA
Source: RNAcentral
UGGGGAAUUUUGCACAAUGGGGGAAACCCUGAUGCAGCGACGCCGCGUGAUUUAGAAGGCCUUCGGGUUGUAAAAAUCUUUUCUAUGGGAAGAAAAUGACAGUACCAUAGGAAUAAGGACCGGCUAAUUACGUGCCAGCAGCCGCGGUAAUACGUAAGGUCCGAGCGUUGUCCGGAAUCAUUGGGCGUAAAGGGUACGUAGGCGGGUAAGCAAGUUAGAAUUGAAAUCCUAUGGCUCAACUAUAGUAAGCUUUUAAAACUGCUCAUCUUGAGGUAUGGAAGGGAAAGUGGAAUUCCUAGUGUAGCGGUGAAAUGCGCAGAUAUUAGGAGGAAUACCGGUGGCGAAGGCGACUUUCUGGCCAUAACCUGACGCUGAGGUACGAAAGCGUGGGUAGCAAACAGG